This 1433-nucleotide ribosomal RNA is filed under the name uncultured bacterium. Its description in RNAcentral is "bacterial SSU rRNA". It matches the Rfam family "Bacterial small subunit ribosomal RNA". The record is from RNAcentral.
GAUGAACGCUGGCGGCGUGCCUGAGAUAUGCAAGUCGAACGUCGUUCUGUCGCAAGACAGAAUGUAGUGGCGGACGGCUGAGUAAUGCGCAGGAAUCUGCCCCGGAAUAUUGGAUAGCCCCGCGAAAGCGGGGAUAAUACGAUAUAGUUUCCUCCUCUGGAGGAAUAAAGUACGUAACUGUACGUUCCGGGAUGAGCCUGCGUCCUAUCAGGUAGUUGGUGGGGUAAUGGCCUACCAAGCCUAUUACGGGUAGCUGGCCUGAGAGGGUGGUCAGCCAGAGGGGGACUGAGACACGGCCCCCACUCCUACGGGAGGCAGCAAUCAGGAAUAGUCGGCAAUGGGCGCAAGCCUGACCGCGCGACGCCGCGUGUAGGAAUAAGCUCUUACGAGUGUAAACUACUGUGGCGAAGGAUGAAGUCGCCCUAUGGGCGAUUGACAGUACUUCGUUAGAAAGGGGCCGCUAACUGCGUGCCAGAAGCGUCGGUAAUACGUGGGCCCCAAGCGUUAUCCGGUAUCACUGGGCAUAAAGGGUCGUGUAGGCGUCUCAUCAAGUUUCCAUUUAAAUAUCAAGGCUUAACCUUGAAAAAGGUGGGAAAACUGAUGGGAUAGAAUUUCCUUAAGGGGGAUUGGAACUGAGGGAGGAGUAGUGAAAUGCGUUGAUACCCUCGGGAACACCAGUGGCGAAGGCGAAUCUCUGGAAGGAAAUUGACGCUGAGACACGAAAGCUAGGGGAGCGAAGCAGAUUAGAGACCUGCGUAGUCCUAGCUGUAAACGCAUGCUUGCUAGCUGCAUGUCCUGAUUUAUCAGGACGUGUGGCGAAGGAAAUCCGUUAAGCAAGCCGCCUGGGGAGUACGACCGCAAGGUUAAAACUCAAAGGAAUUGGCGGGGAGGCACACAACCAGUGGAACAUGUGGUUCAAUUCGAUACAAACCGAAGCACCUCACCAGGGUUUGAAAUACGAGAGUUCUAUUCUAUGGAAACAUAGAAGAUGCGCAAGCAGGCUCGUACAGGUGCUGCAUGGCUGUCGUCAGCUCGUUCCGUGAGGAGUACCCUUAAGUGGGACAACGAGCGCAACCCCCAUCCUGUGUUAUAUGUAUCACAGGGGACUGCUCCGCCUUUGGCGGGGAGGAAGGAGGGGCAGACGUCAAGUCAGCAUGGUCCUUAUACCCUGGGCUACACACAUGUUACAAUGAAUGUUCAACAAUGGGUUUUGCCAACCGGUAACGGUGAGCGAAUCCCAGAAAUACUUUCUCAGUGGGGAUUGAGGUCUGCAACUCGACCUCAUGAACAUGGAAUUGGUAGUAAUCGCGGAUCAGCUAUGCCGCGGUGAAUACGUUCUUGCCUCUUGCACACACCGCCCGUCAAGCCAACAAAGUCGGGGACAUUUGAACUCCGCCAUUCGGCGGGGGAGAGUAUCGUCGGCGAUGAGGGUU